GGGCGUAUGGUCUAGUGGUAUGAUUUCUGUUUUGCAAUGCCUUUGUUGCACCUGCAUAUACAGACGGUCCCGCGUUCGAUCCGCGGUACGUCCA
This is a transfer RNA of Madurella mycetomatis, 94 nucleotides long. It matches the Rfam family "tRNA". Rfam says of the family: Transfer RNA (tRNA) molecules are approximately 80 nucleotides in length. Their secondary structure includes four short double-helical elements and three loops (D, anti-codon, and T loops). NCBI's taxonomy places the organism in Eukaryota, Fungi, Ascomycota, Sordariomycetes, Sordariales. The record is from Rfam.